GAUGAACGCUGGCGGCGUGCCUAAUACAUGCAAGUCGAGCGAACGGACGAGAAGCUUGCUUCUCUGAUGUUAGCGGCGGACGGGUGAGUAACACGUGGAUAACCUACCUAUAAGACUGGGAUAACUUCGGGAAACCGGAGCUAAUACCGGAUAAUAUUUUGAACCGCAUGGUUCAAAAGUGAAAGACGGUCUUGCUGUCACUUAUAGAUGGAUCCGCGCUGCAUUAGCUAGUUGGUAAGGUAACGGCUUACCAAGGCAACGAUGCAUAGCCGACCUGAGAGGGUGAUCGGCAACACUGGAACUGAGGAACGGUCCAGACUCCUACGGGAGGCAGCAGUAGGGAAUCUUCCGCAAUGGGCGAAAGCCUGACGGAGCAACGCCGCGUGAGUGAUGAAGGUCUUCGGAUCGUAAAACUCUGUUAUUAGGGAAGAACAUAUGUGUAAGUAACUGUGCACAUCUUGACGGUACCUAAUCAGAAAGCCACGGCUAACUACGUG
RNAcentral lists this ribosomal RNA (497 nucleotides) under uncultured bacterium. RNAcentral describes it as "partial 16S ribosomal RNA". It matches the Rfam family "Bacterial small subunit ribosomal RNA", at positions 28 to 507 of the family's 1533-position model. The record is from RNAcentral.